This 497-nucleotide ribosomal RNA is filed under the name uncultured bacterium. Its description in RNAcentral is "partial 16S ribosomal RNA". It matches the Rfam family "Bacterial small subunit ribosomal RNA", at positions 28 to 507 of the family's 1533-position model. The record is from RNAcentral.
GAUGAACGCUGGCGGCGUGCCUAAUACAUGCAAGUCGAGCGAACAGAUGAGGAGCUUGCUCCUCUGACGUUAGCGGCGGACGGGUGAGUAACACGUGGAUAACCUACCUAUAAGACUGGGAUAACUUCGGGAAACCGUAGCUAAUACCGGAUAAUAUUUUGAACCGCAUGGUUCAAUAGUGAAAGACGGUUUUGCUGUCACUUAUAGAUGGAUCCGCGCCGCAUUAGCUAGUUGGUAAGGUAACGGCUUACCAAGGCAACGAUGCGUAGCCGACCUGAGAGGGUGAUCGGCCACACUGGAACUGAGACACGGUCCAGACUCCUACGGGAGGCAGCAGUAGGGAAUCUUCCGCAAUGGGCGAAAGCCUGACGGAGCAACGCCGCGUGAGUGAUGAAGGUCUUCGGAUCGUAAAACUCUGUUAUUAGGGAAGAACAAAUGUGUAAGUAACUAUGCACGUCUUGACGGUACCUAAUCAGAAAGCCACGGCUAACUACGUG